This 1458-nucleotide ribosomal RNA is filed under the name uncultured bacterium. Its description in RNAcentral is "bacterial SSU rRNA". It matches the Rfam family "Bacterial small subunit ribosomal RNA". The record is from RNAcentral.
CAGGCCUAACACAUGCAAGUCAAGGGGCCUUGGGGCGAGGAGCAAUCCUUGCCGCCGGCGACCGGCGCACGGGUGAAUAACGCGUAUGCGACCUGCCCGUUGCAGGGGGAUAAUCGGGAGAAAUCCCGUCUAAUACCGCGUAAUGCCGCGGGGCUGCAUGGCCCUGCGGCCAAAGGAAGCGAUUCCGGCAACGGAUGGGCAUGCGUGACAUUAGCUAGUUGGCGGGGCAACGGCCCACCAAGGCGACGAUGUCCAGGGGUUCUGAGAGGAAGGUCCCCCACACUGGUACUGAAACACGGACCAGACUCCUACGGGAGGCAGCAGUGAGGAAUAUUGGUCAAUGGGCGCGAGCCUGAACCAGCCAAGUCGCGUGAGGGAUGACGGCCCUACGGGUUGUAAACCUCUUUUGUCGGGGAGCAAAUUCCGCCACGUGUGGCGGAGUCGAGAGUACCCGAAGAAAAAGCAUCGGCUAACUCCGUGCCAGCAGCCGCGGUAAUACGGAGGAUGCGAGCGUUAUCCGGAUUUAUUGGGUUUAAAGGGUGCGUAGGCGGACUGUCAAGUCAGCGGUAAAAUACGGGGGCUCAACCUCCGCCCGCCGUUGAAACUGACGGUCUUGAGUGGGCGAGAAGUAUGCGGAAUGCGUGGUGUAGCGGUGAAAUGCAUAGAUAUCACGCAGAACUCCGAUUGCGAAGGCAGCAUACCGGCGCCCAACUGACGCUGAAGCACGAAAGCGUGGGUAUCGAACAGGAUUAGAUACCCUGGUAGUCCACGCAGUAAACGAUGAAUACUAGCUGUCCGGGGCGAAUGAGCCCUGGCGUGGCACAGCGAAAGCGUUAAGUAUUCCACCUGGGGAGUACGCCGGCAACGGUGAAACUCAAAGGAAUUGACGGGGGCCCGCACAAGCGGAGGAACAUGUGGUUUAAUUCGAUGAUACGCGAGGAACCUUACCCGGGCUCAAACGACACAGGAACGUACCUGAAAGGGUUCGGCUCUACGGAGCCUGUGUCGAGGUGCUGCAUGGUUGUCGUCAGCUCGUGCCGUGAGGUGUCGGCUUAAGUGCCAUAACGAGCGCAACCCCCAUCGACAGUUGCUAACAGGUCAGGCUGAGGACUCUGUCGAGACUGCCGGCGCAAGCUGCGAGGAAGGCGGGGAUGACGUCAAAUCAGCACGGCCCUUACGUCCGGGGCGACACACGUGUUACAAUGGCAGGUACAGCGGGAAGCCACCUGGCGACAGGGAGCGGAACCCGAAAGCCUGUCUCAGUUCGGAUUGGAGUCUGCAACCCGACUCCAUGAAGCUGGAUUCGCUAGUAAUCGCGCAUCAGCCACGGCGCGGUGAAUACGUUCCCGGGCCUUGUACACACCGCCCGUCAAGCCAUGGAAGCCGGGGGUGCCUGAAGUGCGCUGCCGCGAGGAGCGCCCUAGGGUAAAACCGGUGACUGGGGCUAAGUCGUCACAA